AGCGGCGGACGGGUGAGUAACACGUGGGUAACCUGCCUGUAAGACUGGGAUAACUCCGGGAAACCGGGGCUAAUACCGGAUAACACCUACCCCCGCAUGGGGGAAGGUUGAAAGGUGGCUUCGGCUAUCACUUACAGAUGGACCCGCGGCGCAUUAGCUAGUUGGUGAGGUAAUGGCUCACCAAGGCGACGAUGCGUAGCCGACCUGAGAGGGUGAUCGGCCACACUGGGCCUGAGACACGGCCCAGACUCCUACGGGAGGCAGCAGUAGGGAAUCUUCCGCAAUGGACGAAAGUCUGACGGAGCAACGCCGCGUGAGUGAAGAAGGUUUUCGGAUCGUAAAACUCUGUUGUUAGGGAAGAACAAGUGCCGUUCGAAUAGGGCGGCGCCUUGACGGUACCUAACCAGAAAGCCACGGCUAACUACGUGCCAGCAGCCGCGGUAAUACGUAGGUGGCAAGCGUUGUCCGGAAUUAUUGGGCGUAAAGCGCGCGCAGGUGGUUUCUUAAGUCUGAUGUGAAAGCCCACGGCUCAACCGUGGAGGGUCAUUGGAAACUGGGGAACUUGAGUGCAGAAGAGGAAAGUGGAAUUCCAAGUGUAGCGGUGAAAUGCGUAGAUAUUUGGAGGAACACCAGUGGCGAAAGCGACUUUCUGGUCUGUAACUGACACUGAGCGCGAAAGCGUGGGGAGCAACAGGAUUAGAUACCCUGGGUAGUCCACGACGUAACGAUGAGUGCUGAGGUGUUAUAAGGGUUUCUGCCCUUUAUGCUGCAGCUACGCAAUAAGCACUCCCCUGCGGAGUACUAGUCGCCAGACUGAACAUCGAACGAGUGACGGGAGGCCGCGCAUCGUGAAGCAUGUAGGUUUACUCCUAGCGAGCGCGUAGAGCAUACAGUCCUGACAUGCUCUGGACACCAUACAAUACGGCUUGCCGUCCUGUACUGGACUGACAGUGAUGGAUGUGACGUC
Molecule: ribosomal RNA, 967 nt
Filed under: Bacillus sp. (in: firmicutes)
Lineage: Bacteria; Bacillati; Bacillota; Bacilli; Caryophanales; Bacillaceae
Description: bacterial SSU rRNA
Rfam family: Bacterial small subunit ribosomal RNA
Source: RNAcentral